This 1473-nucleotide ribosomal RNA is filed under the name Salmonella enterica. RNAcentral's name for it is "partial 23S ribosomal RNA". It matches the Rfam family "Bacterial large subunit ribosomal RNA", at positions 568 to 1867 of the family's 2925-position model. The record is from RNAcentral. Lineage: Bacteria; Pseudomonadati; Pseudomonadota; Gammaproteobacteria; Enterobacterales; Enterobacteriaceae.
GCCAGUGGUGAACUCCACAUACGCAUCCUUUGCUGAGGAUACGGUUAACGGAGCGAAAGCGACGUUCAACCUCAAAAGAAGCAGAGGGGGCUUAGUGGUGGGGUGACUGCGUACCUUUUGUAUAAUGGGUCAGCGACUUAUAUUCUGUAGCAAGGUUAACCGAAUAGGGGAGCCGCAGGGAAACCGAGUCUUAACUGGGCGUUAAGUUGCAGGGUAUAGACCCGAAACCCGGUGAUCUAGCCAUGGGCAGGUUGAAGGUUGGGUAACACUAACUGGAGGACCGAACCGACUAAUGUUGAAAAAUUAGCGGAUGACCUGUGGCUGGGGGUGAAAGGCCAAUCAAACCGGGAGAUAGCUGGUUCUCCCCGAAAGCUAUUUAGGUAGCGCCUCGUGAAUUCAUCUUCGGGGGUAGAGCACUGUUUCGGCUAGGGGGUCAUCCCGACUUACCAACCCGAUGCAAACUGCGAAUACCGGAGAAUGUUAUCACGGGAGACACACGGCGGGUGCUAACGUCCGUCGUGAAGAGGGAAACAACCCAGACCGCCAGCUAAGGUCCCAAAGUCAUGGUUAAGUGGGAAACGAUGUGGGAAGGCCCAGACAGCCAGGAUGUUGGCUUAGAAGCAGCCAUCAUUUAAAGAAAGCGUAAUAGCUCACUGGUCGAGUCGGCCUGCGCGGAAGAUGUAACGGGGCUAAACCAUGCACCGAAGCUGCGGCAGCGAACGUAUCACUUAAAGCGAUUCAGCGGGUUACGAUUGACGGAGCGAAGCGACGUCAAAGCGUAUAGAAAGUCGAGUCGGUUUAAGGAUACGUUCGUUGGGUAGGGGAGCGUUCUGUAAGCCUGUGAAGGUGUGUCGUGAGGCAUGCUGGAGGUAUCAGAAGUGCGAAUGCUGACAUAAGUAACGAUAAUGCGGGUGAAAAACCCGCUCGCCGGAAGACCAAGGGUUCCUGUCCAACGUUAAUCGGGGCAGGGUGAGUCGACCCCUAAGGCGAGGCCGAAAGGCGUAGUCGAUGGGAAACAGGUUAAUAUUCCUGUACUCGGUGUUACUGCGAAGGGGGGACGGAGAAGGCUAUGUUGGCCGGGCGACGGUUGUCCCGGUUUAAGCGUGUAGGUGUGUGGACCAGGCAAAUCCGGUUCACUUUAACACUGAGGCGUGAUGACGAGGCACUACGGUGCUGAAGCAACAAAUGCCCUGCUUCCAGGAAAAGCCUCUAAGCAUCAGGUAACAUCAAAUCGUACCCCAAACCGACACAGGUGGUCAGGUAGAGAAUACCAAGGCGCUUGAGAGAACUCGGGUGAAGGAACUAGGCAAAAUGGUGCCGUAACUUCGGGAGAAGGCACGCUGAUGGUAGGUGAAGUGAUUUACUCAUGGAGCUGAAAUCAGUCGAAGAUACCAGCUGGCUGCAACUGUUUAUUAAAAACACAGCACUGUGCAAACACGAAAGUGGACGUAUACGGUGUGACGCCUGCCCGGU